GAGUUUGAUCCUGGCUCAGAUUGAACGCUGGCGGCAGGCCUAACACAUGCAAGUCGAACGGUAACAGAAAGCAGCUUGCUGCUUUGCUGACGAGUGGCGGACGGGUGAGUAAUGUCUGGGAAACUGCCUGAUGGAGGGGGAUAACUACUGGAAACGGUAGCUAAUACCGCAUAACGUCGCAAGACCAAAGAGGGGGACCUUCGGGCCUCUUGCCAUCGGAUGUGCCCAGAUGGGAUUAGCUUGUUGGUGGGGUAACGGCUCACCAAGGCGACGAUCUCUAGCUGGUCUGAGAGGAUGACCAGCCACACUGGAACUGAGACACGGUCCAGACUCCUACGGGAGGCAGCAGUGGGGAAUAUUGCACAAUGGGCGCAAGCCUGAUGCAGCCAUGCCGCGUGUAUGAAGAAGGCCUUCGGGUUGUAAAGUACUUUCAGCGGGGAGGAAGGGAGUAAAGUUAAUACCUUUGCUCAUUGACGUUACCCGCAGAAGAAGCACCGGCU
RNAcentral lists this ribosomal RNA (500 nucleotides) under uncultured bacterium. RNAcentral describes it as "bacterial SSU rRNA". It matches the Rfam family "Bacterial small subunit ribosomal RNA", at positions 9 to 498 of the family's 1533-position model. The record is from RNAcentral.